This 459-nucleotide ribosomal RNA is filed under the name uncultured bacterium. Its description in RNAcentral is "partial 16S ribosomal RNA". It matches the Rfam family "Bacterial small subunit ribosomal RNA", at positions 338 to 794 of the family's 1533-position model. The record is from RNAcentral.
CCUACGGGAGGCAGCAGUGAGGAAUAUUGGUCAAUGGACGAGAGUCUGAACCAGCCAAGUAGCGUGAAGGAUGACUGCCCUAUGGGUUGUAAACUUCUUUUAUAAAGGAAUAAAACGAGGCACGUGUGCCUUUUUGCAUGUACUUUAUGAAUAAGGAUCGGCUAACUCCGUGCCAGCAGCCGCGGUAAUACGGAGGAUCCGAGCGUUAUCCGGAUUUAUUGGGUUUAAAGGGAGCGUAGAUGGGUUGUUAAGUCAGUUGUGAAAGUUUGCGGCUAAACCGUAAAAUUGCAAUUGAUACUGGCAGGCUGGAGUACAGUUGAGGUAGGCGGAAUUCGUGGUGGAGCGGUGAAAUGCUUAGAUAUCACGAAGAACCCCGAUUGCGAAGGCAGCUUACUAAACUGUGACUGACAUUGAUGCUCGAAAGUGUGGGUAUCAAACAGGAUUAGAUACCCCUGUAGU